Molecule: unclassified non-coding RNA, 244 nt
Filed under: uncultured fungus
Lineage: Eukaryota; Fungi
Description: sequence contains ITS1
Source: RNAcentral
UUUUUUGUUAUGAUUUUAAUACAUUCUUUAACUCGUGUUUAUGAAUUGAAAAGGUCAGGAGAGGAAAAUAGGGUGCCGCGAGCAAGCUCACAUUCCCCUAGACCCUCAACUGAACCUUUAGAAAUAGUGCACAGGGUAGAAAGUGGAGGUCAGGCCCCUUUGUCGCCAACCCAGUUAAAGGAGUCAGACGAAGAGGGCACCCAAAAAUUCACUAAUGAUCCUUCCGCAGGUUCACCUACGGAAA